RNAcentral lists this ribosomal RNA (571 nucleotides) under Millerozyma sp. CHS-2017b. Its description in RNAcentral is "partial large subunit ribosomal RNA". It matches the Rfam family "Eukaryotic large subunit ribosomal RNA", at positions 62 to 648 of the family's 3401-position model. Lineage: Eukaryota; Fungi; Ascomycota; Pichiomycetes; Serinales; Debaryomycetaceae. The record is from RNAcentral. RNAcentral also lists the same sequence under 1 other name.
AAACCAACAGGGAUUGCCUCAGUAACGGCGAGUGAAGCGGCAAAAGCUCAAAUUUGAAAUCUAGCACCGUCGGUGUUCGAGUUGUAAUUUGAAGAUGGUAACCUUGGGAUUGGCUCUUGUCUAUGUUCCUUGGAACAGGACGUCAUAGAGGGUGAGAAUCCCGUCUGAUGAGAUGCCCAUUCCUUUGUAAGGUGCUAUCGAAGAGUCGAGUUGUUUGGGAAUGCAGCUCUAAGUGGGUGGUAAAUUCCAUCUAAAGCUAAAUAUUGGCGAGAGACCGAUAGCGAACAAGUACAGUGAUGGAAAGAUGAAAAGAACUUUGAAAAGAGAGUGAAAAAGUACGUGAAAUUGUUGAAAGGGAAGGGCAUUAGAUCAGACUUGGUGUUUUACGAUUAUCUUCUCUUCUUGAGUUGUGCACUCGUAUUUCACUGGGCCAGCAUCGAUUCGGAUGGCAAGAUAAUGACAGUCGAACGUAGCUUCACUUGUGGAGUGUUAUAGCUUCUGUUGAUAUUGCCUGUCUGGAUCGAGGGCUGCGUCUUUUGACUAGGAUGCUGGCGUAAUGAUCUAAUGCCGC